GAUGAACGCUGGUGGCGUGCCUAAUACAUGCAAGUCGAGCGAACAGACGAGGAGCUUGCUCCUUUGACGUUAGCGGCGGACGGGUGAGUAACACGUGGGUAACCUACCUAUAAGACUGGGAUAACUUCGGGAAACCGGAGCUAAUACCGGAUAAUAUUUCGAACCGCAUGGUUCGAUAGUGAAAGAUGGCUUUGCUAUCACUUAUAGAUGGACCUGCGCCGCAUUAGCUAGUUGGUAAGGUAACGGCUUACCAAGGCAACGAUACGUAGCCGACCUGAGAGGGUGAUCGGCCACACUGGAACUGAGACACGGUCCAGACUCCUACGGGAGGCAGCAGUAGGGAAUCUUCCGCAAUGGGCGAAAGCCUGACGGAGCAACGCCGCGUGAGUGAUGAAGGUCUUCGGAUCGUAAAACUCUGUUAUUAGGGAAGAACAAACGUGUAAGUAACUGUGCACGUCUUGACGGUACCUAAUCAGAAAGCCACGGCUAACUACGUG
Molecule: ribosomal RNA, 497 nt
Filed under: uncultured bacterium
Lineage: Bacteria
Description: partial 16S ribosomal RNA
Rfam family: Bacterial small subunit ribosomal RNA
Source: RNAcentral